Bombina bombina (fire-bellied toad) is the source of this 3798-nucleotide long non-coding RNA. RefSeq lists it as uncharacterized. The transcript is spliced from 2 exons. Lineage: Eukaryota; Metazoa; Chordata; Amphibia; Anura; Bombinatoridae. The record is from RefSeq and is a predicted model, not a curated record.
UAAGAAGGAAGUAUUCUCUCUUGGUUCAUAGCUAUAUAGGCUAGGUUCUCCUGAUUUAGUUCACCUGCAAAGGACUGAGACAGAAAUUACAUUUGUUAAUAUAAUAUUGGUAUAUUUCUUCCCCCUAUUACAGAAUUGCUAUUUUGUUUGGAUAGGAAAUAUAUAACGAUUCUAACCAUGUUUAAAAGAUUUAUUUUUUUGAAUAGUGAAUAAUCAUACUCAGUGGAAGCCAUCUUUAAAGCUAGUUCAUAGCUAGGAACAAAUGCACCUAUAAAUGUUUCUUAAACCUAGAUUUUCACUUAUUUACCUGGUGCCGCACUUUUUCACUCUGAUUGUUACUAAGCUCUUUACUCACAUUGAGUCUGCCUAAAGGAUAUAAUAUUGGGCUCUCUGAACUGAUAUAAAGGCCCUGUAGACUAGAAACUCUGAAAAUGAAUGACCACACCACUCUUUAAUAAGAGCUGUGUGUUUUGUUCUGAUAUACUAAACAAGGCAUUAGAAAGGUGGAGUAAGUUUAUGAGGCCUAUUUAUCAAGCCGUCAACCGCAAAUACGCCGGAAUUCUGCUGCGCAAUUGUGGCGAGCUUGAUUCGACCUAUUUAUCGAAGCCUACAGACCAGCAAAAGUUGAAAUUUGUGACGUAAUAUAUGAUCCGUCAGUCUCAAUCCGACACAGAUCGAUGCUUACGUUAUUACAGAUGUUCCGAAUACAAAUUCGGCACUAUCUGACACUUUUUGCAAUUUAACAAAUUUCUAACAGGUACGCUCGCCACUAUUCCGGCCCAGCGUACCUGGUUUUCAAUCCGCCACCCUGGAGGCUGUGGAUGCCAUAGGAAUCAAUGGGAGUCUGAAAGCAGCGAAAGCUUAUGUUCGAUGCUGCCAGAUAUCCCAUUGAUUUCUAUGGUAGAAAACAAAUUACGUUUACACCUAACACCCUAACAUAAACCCAUUGUCUAAACACCCCUAGUCUGACGCCCGACAUUGCCACAACAUAAAUAAAUUUAUUAACCCCUAUCCUGCCGCUCCCGGACCCAGCCACAACUGUAAUAAAAUUAUUAACCCCUAAACCCCUGGCCUCGCACAUCACUACCAUUAACUAAACCUAUUAACCCCUAAACCACCAGCCCCCCACAUCACCAUAAACUAAAUUAAGCUAUUAACCCCUAAACCUAACAACCUGCUAACUUUACAUUAAAAUUACCUCAUCCAUAUCUUAUAAUAAAUUAAAACUUACCUUUAGAAUUAAAAUAAACUAUACCAUAUAUACUAUAUAUAUAUAUAUAUAUAUAUAUAAAGAUACCAAGAGAACGAAGAAAAAUUGAUAAUAGAAAGUUGCUUAAAAUUGCAUGCUCUAUCUGAUUCAUGACAAUUUAAUUUUGACUAGACUAUCCCUUUAAUCCCAGCCCUGUAAACUUAAAUUUGCAGUAAACACCUUGGGGCCGACUUAUUAAGGCCCAAAUGGAGCUGAAUGCAGCUGUUUCUGCUCAAGCUUUCAGGAUCGCUGGAAAUAGGAGUUUAGAAGCAGUGGUCUUAAGACCGCUGCUCCUUAACUCAUCCGCCAUCUCUGAGGCAGCGGACAGCAAUCAGCCAGAUCGGAUACGAUCUGGUUGAUUGACACCCCCUGCAAGCAGAGCGGUAUUGCACAAGUAUUUUUACGAGAAAUGCUUGUGCAAUGAUAAAUGCAGACAGCAUAUGCUACUACAGCGGAUCAUGUCCGUCCGCACAAUGAUAGCCCCCUUGUAUUUACAAGACAUUUCUGUUGUUUUGCUAUAGGAUAACAUAUCAGCCAACACUUACCUUAUCUGGAGGAAUCAAUUCAGGUUUGAGUUUGCACACAAGACUAGUCAUGUUAAUUAAGUUAGGAUUAAUUCCAUUGUUUUGCAGUUGUUAUUAGUUAAAGGCAAUUAGGGUGAUAUAUGUAGCAGAGUUAGCCUUGAUAAGUCUACAUUUUCCAGGUUUGACAAUUAGAAUAUCCAUAAUUUUCAGUACUAAAUUACUUGAAAAGGGAGCAAAACAAUUAAAAUAUAUUGCAAUUUUUUUACUAUGCAUAACUAAACAUUGUUAUAUAUUAAAAUCUCAAGAUGUUUACAGUCCCUUUAAGCCUUAUAAACAUAAUUAUCUUUCAUCAGCUGGUAAUUUGUAUAGCGUCGCCAAAUUCUGUAGCGCUGGGUACAAUGAUAGGGGUAUACAAUGACUUGUGAUAAAAUACAAAACAUAACAAAACUAAAUAAAUCUAGUACAGGAGGAAGAGGGCCCUGCUCGGGAGAACUCACAGUCUACAGGUUUUGGGUGCAGAGACAUAAGGGGCAAGAUUACAUAUGCAUAACUGCUGAAACCCGCACCACCCGUAAUUUCGCCAGUGAUUUACGGCACUUUAGAAACUGCCGGGGCCUAAGAAAAUAAAAAAAAAUAUCAAAUCUCCCGUAAAAGUCUAACCCGCCUACCAAAGAUAAACCUGACACGUAAAACCCCUAUAUCCGCAAUCCCCCACAUUGCAACUAAUAAUAAAAGUAUUAACCCCUAAACCAACAACCCCCCACAACGCAAUAUGCCUAAUUAAACUAUUAACCCCUAAUCCGCCAUUUACCCACAUCGCGAUCUACCUAGUAAAAGUAUUAACCCCUAAAUCCUCCAACCCCAACAUCGCAAACUACCUAAUAAAUGUAUUAACCCCUAAUCCACCAUUAACCCACAUCGCAAAGUACCUAUUAAAACUAUUAACCCCUAUUCCGCCAUUAACCCACAUCACAAUAAUCCUAAUAAAACUAUUAACCCCUUAUCCGCCAAACCCCCACAACGCAAGUACCCUAAUUAACCUAUUAAUCCCUAAUCCUCUAAACACCCACAACACAAAUUACUAAUUAAAUAACUUAACUCCCUAACCUAACACCCCCUAAAUUAACCCCAAUUGCCUAAAUUACAUUUAAAAUAAAAAAGCUAACAUUACUUAAACAUAAAAAAAACUAAAAUUAAACUAAUCUAAGAUUACAAAAAAUAGAAAAGUCUAACAUUUCAUAAAUAUAUAUAAUAAACCAAAUUAUCAAAAAUUUUAAAAUUAAACCUAUUCCCUAUGAAAAUAAAAAAAAAACUCCCCAAAAUAAAAACACCCCCUAAUCUAAUGCUAAACUACCAAUAGCCCUUGAAAGGGCUUUUUGUACGGCAUUGCCCUAAGUUAAACAGCACGUUUGCAUUUAAAAAAAAGUCUCCCGUUAACAGUAAAACCCACCACCCACCAAAAUAAAUAAACCUAACACUAAAAAAACUCAACUACCCAUUGCCCCUAAAGGGGCAUUUGUAUGGGCAUUUCCCUUAAAAGGGCAUUCAGCUCUUUUACUUCCCUUAAAAGGGCAUUCAGCUCUUUUAAGAGUGCCCAAUAAAUCCCUAAUCUAAAAAAAAAAAUCUUUUAAAAAAUCCUAUAUCUAACCCCCAAAUAGGUACUCAUCAUUCCUGAAGUCCGGUGGAGAAGGUCCUGUUCCAGGCGGUGAAGUCUUCUUCCAAGUGGCCGACAUCUUCUUCCAAGCGGGGACCACUUCCUUCUUCUUCCGGGACCAAGCCGGCGGGGAGCGAAGAUGAGAAGCAGCAAUGCACUACUGUGAGCUAGCUGAAGUAUUGAAUGGGCCAAUAACACGAGGCAUAUAGGUGUAACCACCAAUCAACACCUCCUGAGCUUACCUAGGUAUCCUUUUCAGCCAAGGAUACCAUGAGAAUAAAACAAAUGAGCUUAUAGAAGUAAAUUGGAACAUUGUUUAAAAUCACAUGCUCUCUCUGAAUCAUUAAAGAAAAAAAAUGGAUUUUAUGUAA